This is a long non-coding RNA of Cynoglossus semilaevis (tongue sole), 529 nucleotides long. RefSeq lists it as uncharacterized. The record is from RefSeq and is a predicted model, not a curated record. The transcript has 3 exons. Lineage: Eukaryota; Metazoa; Chordata; Actinopteri; Pleuronectiformes; Cynoglossidae.
AGCUCCACCGCCUGCUGCUUCUUCAGGACCAGGAAGCUGUAGAACUUGGCGGCCGCCUGCUUCCUGUUGUUGUUCCGGCAGAGGUCGAGCAGACUGACCGACUGGGUGCCCGUCUUGGUCAUCACUCUCUGAGUAACAGAGCGUACACAGAUCACGGACAUCACUUUUACUUAUUCUGGGAGAACUCCAGAGUGGUCGCAGUAAAACAGGUGACCUGCAGGUGGACACACACUCACCUGUAGACCAUGCAGCAUCUGCUGAGUUCUUUUGUUCCACCUUCUCUCCUCCUGAUCCUGGUCUCCUCCCUGUGCCUCGUCCUCCUGAUGUAGAGAAAAACCCACAUCAGCACUGGUUGCUAACAGGAGGCUACAGGUUCAUGUUCAUGCUUAUGCCAGUAGGUCCAGCUCUAUCAGCUGGCUGAUGUUGGUGCUGGUCUCCUCAGGUGGAAGCUCCACAGUGGUGGAAGACUCCAACUGCUGGGACACAUUACCGACUGUGGACGUCUCCUGCUGCUGCUCUUCCAAAGCCC